CCUUUCCCGCGCGACCGGCGAGGGAGGAAGAAGCGCGAAGAGCCGUUAGUCAUGCCGGUGUGGUGGCGGCGGCGGAGACUGCGGGCCCGUAGCUGGGCUCUGCGAGGAUGAAAAUGAGCAUUUUACUUGAUGUUGAUAACAUCACAAUAAAUUAUGGAGAAAAAUACAUAUUUGGCUAACUUUUAAUUGCUGAACAAUAAAGUGUUUUCUUUUAAAUCAACUCU
Molecule: long non-coding RNA, 224 nt
Filed under: Homo sapiens (human)
Lineage: Eukaryota; Metazoa; Chordata; Mammalia; Primates; Hominidae
Description: non-protein coding SNHG6:7
Source: RNAcentral